Molecule: ribosomal RNA, 225 nt
Filed under: uncultured bacterium
Lineage: Bacteria
Description: partial 16S ribosomal RNA
Rfam family: Bacterial small subunit ribosomal RNA
Source: RNAcentral
AGUAACGCGUGGGUAACCUGCCUUAUACAGGGGGAUAACAGUCAGAAAUGGCUGCUAAUACCGCAUAAGCGCACAGAGCUGCAUGGCUCAGUGUGAAAAACUCCGGUGGUAUAAGAUGGACCCGCGUUGGAUUAGCUAGUUGGUGGGGUAACGGCCCACCAAGGCGACGAUCCAUAGCCGGCCAGAGAGGGUGAACGGCCACAUUGGGACUGAGACACGGCCCAG